GGGCGAUUAGUUAAGUGGUAUAACAGUGGCCUCCAAAUCCACUAUCGGGGGUUCGAUUCCCUCAUCGCCCG
RNAcentral lists this transfer RNA (71 nucleotides) under bacterium. Its description in RNAcentral is "tRNA-Trp". It matches the Rfam family "tRNA". Rfam says of the family: Transfer RNA (tRNA) molecules are approximately 80 nucleotides in length. Their secondary structure includes four short double-helical elements and three loops (D, anti-codon, and T loops). The record is from RNAcentral.